CUAACUCAAAUUUGUGUGGAGCUGAAACGUUUUCCUACGUUUCCCGCUAGGGGCGCUGUUCCAACUAUAUACAAAUUUCAGUUA
Bombyx mori (domestic silkworm) is the source of this 84-nucleotide non-coding RNA. Lineage: Eukaryota; Metazoa; Arthropoda; Insecta; Lepidoptera; Bombycidae. The record is from Rfam.